RNAcentral lists this ribosomal RNA (722 nucleotides) under uncultured bacterium. Its description in RNAcentral is "bacterial SSU rRNA". It matches the Rfam family "Bacterial small subunit ribosomal RNA", at positions 1 to 693 of the family's 1533-position model. The record is from RNAcentral.
CGGCCGCGGGAUUCGAUUAGAGUUUGAUUAUGGCUCANNACGAACGCUGGCGGCGUGCCUAAUACAUGCAAGUCGAGCGAAUCUAUUGGGAGCUUGCUCCCAAUAGAUUAGCGGCGGACGGGUGAGUAACACGUGGGUAACCUGCCUGUAAGACUGGGAUAACUUCGGGAAACCGGAGCUAAUACCGGAUAGUUUCUUUUCUCGCAUGAGAAGAGAUGGAAAGAUGGUUUCGGCUAUCACUUACAGAUGGACCCGCGGCGCAUUAGCUAGUUGGUGAGGUAACGGCUCACCAAGGCAACGAUGCGUAGCCGACCUGAGAGGGUGAUCGGCCACACUGGGACUGAGACACGGCCCAGACUCCUACGGGAGGCAGCAGUAGGGAAUCUUCCGCAAUGGACGAAAGUCUGACGGAGCAACGCCGCGUGAGCGAAGAAGGCCUUCGGGUCGUAAAGCUCUGUUGUUAGGGAAGAACAAGUACGAGAGUAACUGCUCGUACCUUGACGGUACCUAACCAGAAAGCCACGGCUAACUACGUGCCAGCAGCCGCGGUAAUACGUAGGUGGCAAGCGUUGUCCGGAAUUAUUGGGCGUAAAGCGCGCGCAGGCGGUCCUUUAAGUCUGAUGUGAAAGCCCACGGCUCAACCGUGGAGGGUCAUUGGAAACUGGGGGACUUGGGUGCAGANGNNNAGAGUGGNNUUCCACGUGUAGCGGUGAAAUGCGUAG